AAACUCAAAGGAAUUGACGGGGACCCGCACAAGCGGUGGAGCAUGUGGUUUAAUUCGAAGCAACGCGAAGAACCUUACCAAGUCUUGACAUCGGAAUGACCGGUCCGUAACGGGGCCUUCCCUACGGGGCAUUCCAGACAGGUGGUGCAUGGUUGUCGUCAGCUCGUGUCGUGAGAUGUUGGGUUAAGUCCCGCAACGAGCGCAACCCUUAUCCUUAGUAGCCAGCAGUUCGGCUGGGCACUCUGGGGAGACUGCCAGGGAUAACCUGGAGGAAGGUGGGGAUGACGUCAAAUCAUCAUGCCCCUUAUGAUUUGGGCUACACACGUGCUACAAUGGCGUAAACAAAGGGAAGCGAAGGAGUGAUCCGGAGCAAAUCUCAAAAAUAACGUCUCAGUUCGGAUUGUAGUCUGCAACUCGACUACAUGAAGCUGGAAUCGCUAGUAAUCGCGGAUCAGAAUGCCGCGGUGAAUACGUUCCCGGGUCUUGUACACACCGCCCGUCACACCAUGGGAGUUGGUAACGCCCGAAGUCAGUGACCCAACCGUAAGGAGGGAGCUGCCGAAGGCGGGACUGAUAACUGGGGUGAAGUCGUAACAAGGUAGCCGUAUCGGAAGGUGCGGCUGGAUCACCUCCUUUAUG
This 639-nucleotide ribosomal RNA is filed under the name uncultured Lachnospiraceae bacterium. RNAcentral's name for it is "bacterial SSU rRNA". It matches the Rfam family "Bacterial small subunit ribosomal RNA", at positions 897 to 1533 of the family's 1533-position model. Lineage: Bacteria; Bacillati; Bacillota; Clostridia; Lachnospirales; Lachnospiraceae. The record is from RNAcentral.